Molecule: ribosomal RNA, 550 nt
Filed under: uncultured bacterium
Lineage: Bacteria
Description: partial 16S ribosomal RNA
Rfam family: Bacterial small subunit ribosomal RNA
Source: RNAcentral
AGGGAAUCUUCGGCAAUGGACGAAAGUCUGACCGAGCAACGCCGCGUGAGUGAAGAAGGUUUUCGGAUCGUAAAACUCUGUUGGUAGAGAAGAACGUUGGUGAGAGUGGAAAGCUCAUCAAGUGACGGUAACUACCCAGAAAGGGACGGCUAACUACGUGCCAGCAGCCGCGGUAAUACGUAGGUCCCGAGCGUUGUCCGGAUUUAUUGGGCGUAAAGCGAGCGCAGGUGGUUUAUUAAGUCUGGUGUAAAAGGCAGUGGCUCAACCAUUGUAUGCAUUGGAAACUGGUAGACUUGAGUGCAGGAGAGGAGAGUGGAAUUCCAUGUGUAGCGGUGAAAUGCGUAGAUAUAUGGAGGAACACCGGUGGCGAAAGCGGCUCUCUGGCCUGUAACUGACACUGAGGCUCGAAAGCGUGGGGAGCAAACAGGAUUAGAUACCCUGGUAGUCCACGCCGUAAACGAUGAGUGCUAGAUGUAGGGAGCUAUAAGUUCUCUGUAUCGCAGCUAACGCAAUAAGCACUCCGCCUGGGGAGUACGACCGCAAGGUUGAA